UACGGAGGGUGCAAGCGGUAAUCGGAAUUACUGGGCGUAAAGCGCGCGUAGGCGGUUUGAUAAGUCGGGUGUGAAAGCCCUGGGCUCAACCUGGGAAUUGCAUUCGAUACUGUCUGACUAGAGUAUGGUAGAGGGAGGCGGAAUUCCAGGUGUAGCGGUGAAAUGCGUAGAUAUCUGGAGGAACAUCAGUGGCGAAGGCGGCUUCCUGGACCAAUACUGACGCUGAGGUGCGAAAGCGUGGGGAGCAAACAGG
RNAcentral lists this ribosomal RNA (253 nucleotides) under uncultured bacterium. RNAcentral describes it as "partial 16S ribosomal RNA". It matches the Rfam family "Bacterial small subunit ribosomal RNA", at positions 524 to 776 of the family's 1533-position model. The record is from RNAcentral.